This 271-nucleotide ribosomal RNA is filed under the name uncultured bacterium. RNAcentral describes it as "partial 16S ribosomal RNA". It matches the Rfam family "Bacterial small subunit ribosomal RNA", at positions 781 to 1058 of the family's 1533-position model. The record is from RNAcentral.
GAUACCCGGGUAGUCCACGCCGUAAACGAUGAUUACUGGAUGUGUGCGAUAGACAGUACGCGUCUGAGCGAAAGCGUUAAGUAAUCCACCUGGGGAGUACGACCGCAAGAUUGAAACUCAAAGGAAUUGACGGGGGUCCGCACAAGCGGUGGGGCAUGUGGUUUAAUUCGAUGAUACGCGAGGAACCUUACCUGGGCUAGAAUGCGAUUGACCUCUUCAGAGAUGAAGAUUUCUUCGGACAUGAAGCAAGGUGCUGCAUGGCCGCCGUCAG